RNAcentral lists this long non-coding RNA (426 nucleotides) under Nicotiana benthamiana. RNAcentral's name for it is "long non-coding RNA (NBEN_LNC030509)". Lineage: Eukaryota; Viridiplantae; Streptophyta; Magnoliopsida; Solanales; Solanaceae. The record is from RNAcentral.
CCUGAAAAUUACCGUAGAUGCCGGAAAAACUUCAAAGUGGUCGGAAUUGAAAAGUAAAAACAUGGGUAGGCUCGGAAUUUGAGGUUGAGCAAACUGUCCUGAAGAAAUUCUGGCCGGAAAGUACUGUAGCUGCCGGAAAAUUCAAUAAUGUCGCCGGAAAAACUGAAAGUUGUCGGAAUCGAACGAAACAAGGAUGGGUAGGUUCGGAAAAUAAGGCCGACCAAACUGUCCUUCUGGAGCGAAGUGAAAAAACUGGCCGGAAAAGGCUCCACGCGCCGGCGCGUGGUCUGACACGCCGACAGCUGUGGUGGCGCGUGGUGGCGCGUGGCGGCGCGUGUGGAGGUAUCUGCCGGAGAAAUUUCUGGGGUUUGGUCGGAAUUAUAUUCCGAGUCUUGUGGUGGUGUUGGUUUUUGCACAACACUNNNN